Molecule: long non-coding RNA, 1110 nt
Organism: Dreissena polymorpha
Lineage: Eukaryota; Metazoa; Mollusca; Bivalvia; Myida; Dreissenidae
Exons: 2
Source: RefSeq, a predicted model, not a curated record
UUAAAGCUUUCAACAGCAUAACAAUUUGCUAAUUUAAGCUAUUAUGUCAUGCAUUAGUAAUAAUCAUAAGACAUAGUCACGCCGUGAUAAUUGAGGUAUCCCAAAAUAGAGAAAACUGAAGUAUAUAAACUUGGUAUAUCUGAGCCGGUACCUGAAUCGUGCGGUAAAUACUUACUGUAACAUAUUUAAAAUUAAAUACUCCUGCAAUGAGUGUCCAUAUUUAAAUUCGCGUACAAAAAGGACAAGAAAACACGGGAAAAACGGUAGUUGCUGUAAAGGUCUUGCACAAAGUAUCACUUAAAACCGCAUCUACAAUUCAAAUACCAACGCAAAAUGGCGGCUGAAAGACUACGCGACUUGAACCUAGCUGUGCAGCCUUUUCAGAACAAUUUAUCGACAUGGAACAAAAGGUUGCUAAGUUACGCGAGGACCAAGGUAGCGGGGAGGUCAAGACUUGACACUGCCUUAUUUGUAAAUUUCGUAGACCGAGAGCAACUCGCAUUGCCACCGAAUGGGAACGAUAUCUCAUCAAUUCUGAUUAUAAAGUAUAAUGAAAACGGCAUGCUAACAACGGAAUUCUAUGAAGUCAAUGAGCAUGCUUUGCUUCUGAACCAUUUUAACGGUCCACCCAUAACUUUGAAAACCCUUCUUGCAUGUACUGUAGGCGUUGCGGGUAUUGUGGGUGUGGUUUGGAUGGGCUUCAAGUUGGGACAACAGACACGAAUCAUACACGAGUUACUGCCGCUUGGCAACGACAUACGACAGACGGCAAAGGAAGUUGCCCGAAAAUGCAUUCAUCAAUGGUAAACACGUUCGAAGUUCGCAUGUGACAUUAAAAUUCUAAAAUAUAGCAACUCAGGCUAGUUAAGAGUUUUCGUUUGACACAAUUAAAUAAUUUAAAAAAAAAUACCAUAGAGAGGAUUAUAUGUGACAUACCCAAAUUAUCUCUUUUUUACAGAUAUCUUUAAAUUUUGAUAUACUAUAAAAUAAAACUUGUUUAUUUAUUUGUUUUGGUUUAAAAAUGCACUUGCUUGCUAAUCAGUCUUUUAGUUUGUCUACUGUUAAUAAGACAAUUUUGUGUUGCUAUUAAAGGAGUGUGAGUGAACGUCA